GCGGGCGUAGCUCAAUGGCAGAGCCUCAGCCUUCCAAGCUGAUUAUGAGGGUUCGAUUCCCUCCGUCCGCUCCA
Molecule: transfer RNA, 74 nt
Filed under: Flavobacteriaceae bacterium
Lineage: Bacteria; Pseudomonadati; Bacteroidota; Flavobacteriia; Flavobacteriales; Flavobacteriaceae
Description: tRNA-Gly
Rfam family: tRNA
About the family: Transfer RNA (tRNA) molecules are approximately 80 nucleotides in length.
Source: RNAcentral